This 465-nucleotide ribosomal RNA is filed under the name uncultured bacterium. RNAcentral's name for it is "partial 16S ribosomal RNA". It matches the Rfam family "Bacterial small subunit ribosomal RNA", at positions 338 to 795 of the family's 1533-position model. The record is from RNAcentral.
CCUACGGGGGGCAGCAGUAGGGAAUCUUCGGCAAUGGACGAAAGUCUGACCGAGCAACGCCGCGUGAGUGAAGAAGGUUUUCGGAUCGUAAAACUCUGUUGGUAGAGAAGAACGUUGGUGAGAGUGGAAAGCUCAUCAAGUGACGGUAACUACCCAGAAAGGGACGGCUAACUACGUGCCAGCAGCCGCGGUAAUACGCAGGCCACGAGCGGUGUCCGGGUGUUUUGGGCGUAAAGCGAGCGUAGGUGGUUUAUUAGGUCUGGUGUAAAAGGCAGUGGCACAACGAUGGUAUGCAUUGGAUACUGGUAGGCUUGAGUGCAGGAGCGGAGAGAGGAAUGUGAGGUGUAGCGGUGAAAUGCGUAGAUAUAUGGAAGAACACCGAUGGCGAAAGCAGCUCUCUGGCCUGUAACUGACACUGAGGCUCGAAAGCGUGGGGAGCAAACAGGAUUAGAUACCCCAGUAGUC